This 1053-nucleotide ribosomal RNA is filed under the name Triticum aestivum (bread wheat). RNAcentral describes it as "partial small subunit ribosomal RNA". Lineage: Eukaryota; Viridiplantae; Streptophyta; Magnoliopsida; Poales; Poaceae. The record is from RNAcentral.
AUGUACUCCUCGUACAUAUCUGCACUAGCACGCCUCUGUUUCAUCACAUCGCGCAGGUGCAGCCGCCGCCCGCCCGCUUCCAGGUUCCUUGUCGGCGCUGUGCCGUGGCCCUCCUCGCAUCUGGGUCUCCUCGGUUACGUGCCUUGGGUCUCCUCGGUUACGCGCUGCUCCGCGCAGGCACCCCUGCGGGCCCGACCUCCUCCGCCCUGGCUCGACGCGCCCAUGCUGCCUCAUCGGCGUCGCUCUGGCCGAGCGCCUCCGCGCCUACGCGGCCAUCGUGUUGUCGCGUCCCGUCACGGCUUCCGGCGGCUCGCCUCAACGGACGGCCGGCUCCGUCCGCCUCCAGGCGACCACCCCAGGCAGGCUGCGGGUAGCCGGCUCCUCCGCGCGCGCAGGGUCGCCGCAACCCGCCUGCUCCCCUGCCUCGCCUCCCAUGCACGCGCGCCUGGCAGCCGAGGCCAUGGCCGCUGCACAACCACGCCCGACGCUGCGUCCCUUCGUCGUCCUCUACUCUGGGUGCUCCCGAGCGCCGCAUCCGGCCUCGCCUGGCCUCCGCCGACUCCACCGCCUCGGGCCGCCGGCUCCGACCCGAGUGCCCGCCUCGCCGGCAUCUCCACCCAAGCCGGACCUCCUUGCCGCACGCGCCGGCCUCGCGCGGCGCCGGGUUCCUGGUCACUCCGCCCCCGCUGCGCGCGGGCCUCCUGCGGCCCUGCACUCCGGCUGCGCAGUUCCCGAUCCCGGCCACCCCCGCGCUCGUCCGGCUUCUCGCACGCGCCCCCGGCCGCCUCGCGCCGCGCCGGCUGUCACCCCGGCCGCCUGCUCCGGCUGAUCCACCCGCGCCGUCUGCUUCGCUCCACCCGCGCGGGCACCCGGUCGGCCUCUGCCGCGCCCUCCGCCUCCGCCGGCUCCGGAUGGCCGGCUCGCCGCCCCGCCUCCGCCAACACCCGGCUCGCGCCAAGCGGAACCGGCUCCUCUACCGUGCCGCUGGGCACGGCAGAGUGCCGUGCCUUCUUGCGCAAGAGCGUGCACAUAUGGGCCAGAAAGGCCUCCUAA